Molecule: ribosomal RNA, 568 nt
Filed under: uncultured bacterium
Lineage: Bacteria
Description: bacterial SSU rRNA
Rfam family: Bacterial small subunit ribosomal RNA
Source: RNAcentral
CCUACGGGAGGCAGCAGUGGGGAAUAUUGCACAAUGGGCGCAAGCCUGAUGCAGCAACGCCGCGUGAGGGACGACGGCCUUCGGGUUGUAAACCUCUUUUAGUAGGGAAGAAGCGAAAGUGGCGGUACCUGCAGAAAAAGCACCGGCUAACUACGUGCCAGCAGCCGCGGUAAUACGUAGGGUGCAAGCGUUAUCCGGAAUUAUUGGGCGUAAAGAGCUCGUAGGCGGUUUGUCGCGUCUGCUGUGAAAACUGGAGGCUCAACCUCCAGCCUGCAGUGGGUACGGGCAGACUAGAGUGCGGUAGGGGAGAUUGGAAUUCCUGGUGUAGCGGUGGAAUGCGCAGAUAUCAGGAGGAACACCGAUGGCGAAGGCAGAUCUCUGGGCCGUAACUGACGCUGAGGAGCGAAAGCAUGGGGAGCGAACAGGAUUAGAUACCCUGGUAGUCCAUGCCGUAAACGUUGGGAACUAGAUGUAGGGACCAUUCCACGGUUUCUGUGUCGCAGCUAACGCAUUAAGUUCCCCGCCUGGGGAGUACGGCCGCAAGGCUAAAACUCAAAGGAAUUGACGG